RNAcentral lists this ribosomal RNA (464 nucleotides) under uncultured bacterium. RNAcentral describes it as "partial 16S ribosomal RNA". It matches the Rfam family "Bacterial small subunit ribosomal RNA", at positions 338 to 795 of the family's 1533-position model. The record is from RNAcentral.
CCUACGGGAGGCAGCAGUAGGGAAUCUUCCACAAUGGGCGAAAGCCUGAUGGAGCAACGCCGCGUGGGUGAAGUAGGUCUUCGGAUCGUAAAAACCUGUUGUUAGAGAAGAAAGUGCGUGAGAGUAACUGUUCACGUUUCGACGGUAUCUAACCAGAAAGCAACGGCUAACUACGUGCCAGCAGCCGCGGUAAUACGUAGGUGGCAAGCGUUAUCCGGAUUUAUUGGGCGUAAAGGGUGCGCAGGCGGCCUGUUAAGUCAGCGGUAAAAGCCCGGGGCUCAACCCCGGCGAGCCGUUGAAACGGGCGGGCUGGAGUUGGAGAGAAGUACGCGGAAUGCGCGGUGUAGCGGUGAAAUGCUUAGAUAUCGCGCAGAACCCCGAUUGCGAAGGCAGCGUACCGGCUCCACACUGACGCUGAGGCACGAAAGCGUGGGUAUCGAACAGGAUUAGAUACCCCUGUAGUC